RNAcentral lists this long non-coding RNA (217 nucleotides) under Elaeis guineensis (African oil palm). RNAcentral's name for it is "long non-coding RNA (EGUI_LNC017011)". Lineage: Eukaryota; Viridiplantae; Streptophyta; Magnoliopsida; Arecales; Arecaceae. The record is from RNAcentral.
ACAUACGUAUAUAUACAUACGUAUAUAUACAUACGUAUAUAUAAACAUAUAUAUACAUACGUAUACAUACAUACAUAUAUAUAUAUACGUAUAUAUACAUACAUAUAUACACAUACGUAUAUAUAUAUAUACAUAUAUAUAUACACACACACGUAUACAUACAUACACAUAUACACACACACAUGUACACACACAUAUAUAUAUAUAGACACACACA